This 29-nucleotide small RNA is filed under the name Bombyx mori (domestic silkworm). Its description in RNAcentral is "ovarian small RNA-7175". Lineage: Eukaryota; Metazoa; Arthropoda; Insecta; Lepidoptera; Bombycidae. The record is from RNAcentral.
UCCACGUUCGCGUCCAGCUUCAGGCCCUG